This 1085-nucleotide ribosomal RNA is filed under the name Prevotella sp. oral taxon G57. RNAcentral's name for it is "bacterial SSU rRNA". It matches the Rfam family "Bacterial small subunit ribosomal RNA", at positions 28 to 1112 of the family's 1533-position model. The record is from RNAcentral. Lineage: Bacteria; Pseudomonadati; Bacteroidota; Bacteroidia; Bacteroidales; Prevotellaceae.
GAUGAACGCUGGCUACAGGCUUAACACAUGCAAGUCGAGGGGAAACGGCAUUGAGUGCUUGCACUGAAUGGACGUCGACCGGCGCACGGGUGAGUAACGCGUAUCCAACCUUCCCGUUACUGCGGGAUAACCUGCCGAAAGGCAGACUAAUACCGCAUGUUCUUCGAUGACGGCAUCAGAUUCGAAGCAAAGAUCCGUCGGUAACGGAGGGGGAUGCGUCUGAUUAGCUAGUUGGCGGGGCGACGGCCCACCAAGGCGACGAUCAGUAGGGGUUCUGAGAGGAAGGUCCCCCACAUUGGAACUGAGACACGGUCCAAACUCCUACGGGAGGCAGCAGUGAGGAAUAUUGGUCAAUGGGCGGAAGCCUGAACCAGCCAAGUAGCGUGCAGGAUGACGGCCCUACGGGUUGUAAACUGCUUUUAUGCGGGGAUAAAGUGAGGGACGCGUCCCUUUUUGCAGGUACCGCAUGAAUAAGGACCGGCUAAUUCCGUGCCAGCAGCCGCGGUAAUACGGAAGGUCCGGGCGUUAUCCGGAUUUAUUGGGUUUAAAGGGAGCGUAGGCCGGGGAUUAAGUGUGUUGUGAAAUGUAGGCGCCCAACGUCUGACUUGCAGCGCAUACUGGUUCCCUUGAGUACGCGCAACGCCGGCGGAAUUCGUCGUGUAGCGGUGAAAUGCUUAGAUAUGACGAAGAACCCCGAUUGCGAAGGCAGCCGGCGGGAGCGCAACUGACGCUGAAGCUCGAAGGUGCGGGUAUCGAACAGGAUUAGAUACCCUGGUAGUCCGCACGGUAAACGAUGGAUGCCCGCUGUCGGCGCCUUGCGCCGGCGGCCAAGCGAAAGCGUUAAGCAUCCCACCUGGGGAGUACGCCGGCAACGGUGAAACUCAAAGGAAUUGACGGGGGCCCGCACAAGCGGAGGAACAUGUGGUUUAAUUCGAUGAUACGCGAGGAACCCUACCCGGGGCUUGAAUUGCAGACGAAGGCUUCAGAGAUGAAGCUGCCUUUCGGGCGUCUGUGACGGUGCUGCAUGGUGUCGUCAGCUCGUGCGUGAGGUGUCGCUAGUGCAUACGAGCGCACCCCUUCCAGUG